Lachnospiraceae bacterium 28-4 is the source of this 160-nucleotide regulatory RNA element. The record is from Rfam. NCBI's taxonomy places the organism in Bacteria, Bacillati, Bacillota, Clostridia, Lachnospirales, Lachnospiraceae.
UUGCGUACAAUCAGUUAUUUCACUUAUGAAAUGGUCAAUAACCAGAGUAAGCCCGCCAAGGAUGGCGGGCCAGGAAGCAUAGGCAUGGAUGCCGUUGCUUCCGACUCGUCCGGGUGAACACCAUAUGCCCAUUUCAUUAGUGAAAUCUGAUUGGAAGCUC